Molecule: long non-coding RNA, 1130 nt
Filed under: Canis lupus dingo (dingo)
Lineage: Eukaryota; Metazoa; Chordata; Mammalia; Carnivora; Canidae
Description: lncRNA (ENSCAFG00020011233.1)
Source: RNAcentral
AUGUGGAGAGCCAGAGACCGGGAAUUGACUGCAGCAGAGGAGUGGCAUGGACCAUCUGCAGCCACCUACCACUUGCUUCCAGGGAAGAUGAAGGCCUUGGCCACGGUCCACUUCAGCUUCCCAACAAUCCUGGUACAAACAAAGAUGCUUUUGGGGGUGGGUAUUUGUAUCCUAGGGGCCAUCCUUCACUCCUUCGCCCUAUAUCCAACCUAUUAUCAAAUCCUUUCUGCUCUAUUUUCAACCUGUCUAUGGCCUGAUUACUUCUCAACUUAUGUACACUUAUCACUCUAGCACAAGUCAUUGUCAUCUCUCUUAAUCAGUCUUGCAUCCACCUUGCUCCCUUAUAGUCUAUUUCUCAGACAUAGGCCAAAGGGAUCCUAUUAAAUUCUAGGUCAGAUAUCUUACACCUCUGUUGCAAUGGUCUUCCAUCUCUUUGAGAGUAAACAAUGAAGUACUCACAUGCCAUGCAGUGCCCCACAAUUUCUGCUCUUGAUCCUGUGUCCUCUCUGACCUUGUCUCCUAAUACCGUGCUCCCCAUUUCCUUAACUCCACUGGGCUCCUGAAUCUGCCUCAAGCACACAAGACAUUCUCCUGCCUCAGAGCUUUUGUGUUUGCUUUAACACAUUCCUGGAGGGCUCCCUUAUACAGCCACAUGGCUUUGCCCCUCACAUCCUUUAAGUCUUUGCUUAAAUGUCACCUCUACACUGAAGGCUUCUCCCAAUGAUACUGUUCACUUGCAGCCUUUCCCUGUCUCAUUUUUUUUUCUUGUCGCACUUACUAGUUAGCAUCUUUCACAUUGUAUUGAUUGAUUGAUUUCAAUUGAUUGAUUAAUGGAUUGGUUGAUUUGACCAGUCUCCCCAAAGCAAAAUGUAAGCUUUACAAGGACAAGAAUUUCUGUUGUUUAGUUCACUAUUAUAGUCCUAGUCACAUAGAGUAGGUGUCAACACUAUUUGUUGAACAAGCAGCCUCCCUUCUUUACUUCCAACUGUAGAAGGCCUCUUCUUACAACCAAUCUUAUUAUCUUUUGAGGUCCAAGGGAGUAGUGAUGGAGAAAACUGGUUCAAGUUACCAUGGUCCAGUGGAAGGAGGGUGGGAAUAAACCCCAUGUGAAUCUACUCUCCCUGGGGAGA